RNAcentral lists this ribosomal RNA (117 nucleotides) under Castor canadensis (American beaver). The record is from RNAcentral. Lineage: Eukaryota; Metazoa; Chordata; Mammalia; Rodentia; Castoridae.
UGUGUUUUUUAUACCACCCUGAAUGCACCUAAUUACUUCUGAUCUCUGAAGCUAAGCAAGACCAGGCCUGGUUAGUACUUGCUUGGGAGACAGAUAAUAUAGGUUAUAUAAUCAUAU